GAUUAAAGUGCUGGCAUCUUCCCCAGGAAUUCCUGCACUGGGACAAACUGCCUUCAGGCACCUUUUCAGUCUGGGGCUAAGCGAGGAUGGAAGUGGAAGUUAUAGGCUAAACAUGCUGUUUCUUCAUUGUAAUGUAGAGAAAUGUUAUCUUCAUCUUGUGCAGGAGGGCAAAGGAAGCUAGGCAGCUUUGCUUAUCUUUCAGUAGCCGAAGACAUUACUUGUGGCUCCUGAGGACCUCUUAGUGCAUUAACUAAAAGACUCUGGGCUCUCCCGGCAUCACUUCAGUGCAAGGACCCGACUGACACUACUUAUGCCAGGUCCUGCCUCCCUCACAGGAGAAGCAGUCUGCAACUUUUGCUGCUCUAGACAACGUUUCAUCUCUGAGAAAACAGAGCUCUACAGAGUGGAUUUGGGGGAUCCGAGGGGAUCAGAGAGGAUCUGCCUCUGCGCUUUGCAGCUGCUCUGCUGACAGGACCUCCUCGAGAGACCCCGGCAGCAAUCUGCUAAACUUGAGCCUUUCUGACCUUCCCUGUCUCCUCAGGGAGUUUUGGAUUGGGCCUUAACCCUUUGACACUGACAGUUCCAGUGGGCACAUUGGUCAGACUGCAGCUCUCCUAUUCUUUGAAGAACUUUUAAUCUGCAGACGAACAUAUCUUGUGGAUGGCAUUGUGUCUAGGACUCUGCUUCAGGCCUGAUGUGUGCAACAAAACCAUGUGCACGGUGAAACUGUUGGCUCUGGGCUCUGUGAAAUGACCUGCUGAGCGUAAAUUCCAAACAGGGAGAAGUGACCAGGCAUCAAAGCUACGCCCAGCCUGUCUGAAGCAACCAUCUCCCUGAAAUAAGACUCCUUCACCCAGUGGACAAGAGAAGGCUUUGGCAUCCUAUUCCCCUUUCAUCAGCUUUGGCGUCACAAUGCGUAUCUCAUCUCCUUGGGCAGAUAGGAAGGCCGGAUAACAUGCUGAUAAUAAUCCUGAUCUUCACAUCUCCCUGCAUGCUUUGGUGGUGCAUGGCGAGCAACUCGCAGCGUAGACGAUGGUGACAACUUCAGCCAGUGGUGCAUGGGACUCUUCUGAGGUUCUCUGGCUCUUGCGAAGUGCUAGGUGCUCUUCUGGCCAGUGAGACUGGACUACUUUAAAGAGCUUGCAGUUAAAGUUACGAUGUUGCUGCUGGACAUCUCUGAUCUCAUUUGGGAGAGAAGAGAGGAAAAAAGGGUGAAAAGGUUACAGUCAAGAAGUGAUUUGUUAAUUAAUUGGUGCCGUCUCCUGGGACACAGGGAAUGGAGCCCUUGUUCUGUUAUCACAAUGCCUGAUGAUUGUGUUCCCAGUGAGUUCUCUUUCUGUCUACAGUGUCAUAUGCGUGACCUAAGAGCAGGGCUGUGCAGUCAAGUGAACCCACGAAGAGUUUAAACAGUUUUGUUUCUUAAACUAUUAAGCAUCUGGAAACACUUCGUUGUUCCACUGUCUUGCCUGAAUGGUGUUGUGUGAAACCUGGGAACUCAUUGAGAUAAAUAUGGAUUGCAGACAAACUCUUGCCUCCUGUGAAUGAGAAGAGAGGAGGAGCUCGAACAACCUGCCCUAACUUCCCUCCUUCCGUGAUGCCAGCUGUGAGUGUUUCUUUGGCAGUGUCUUAGCUGGUUGUUGUGAACAAUAGUCAAGGAAGCAAUCAGCAAGUAUACUGCCCUAGAAGUGCUACACAUUGUUGGGCCUGCCUCAUAUCUCCAUGGCUUGAGGUGGAUGGGGAUCCAGGCUGGGAUGCUGCCCAGGUGUACUGUGUUGCACUGGAGCUUGGGGUGUCUGAUGGAGCAGAGGGCUAAUGUGAGAAAUGCCACAGGAUGCCUGAUGAUGUGGUCACUGCAUCAGAGACGAAAGGUGAACAAAAGAGGAUAUAAACAUGUUGCAAGUUACUUUGCUCUUUCUUUGUCCUUCCCACACACAUCUUCCUGAGAGUAGAAUACCAGCUAUUGUUAGUAACACUGCAAAAAUGCAAUACUAGAUAUUGGGAGAAGGGCCUGCUUUUAGGAAGAAUUCAUGCAAGCCUCAACCUCAGUUUGGUAAUGACAAGCUAACUUGGCUUUGAGCCUAGCAUGGGAGCAACUCGCCUGUAGUCACUACUUCUCCUGGGUGCUGGUCAGCAGCUAUUCAUUGCAAAUAUAUGCAGUCAAGUGCCCCAAAACUUAGCUGAUCUUUCUGGGUAAGAUUUAAUUAGAUUUUCAUUAUGCAAUAAGACAUUUCUUCUUACUUUGUCUGGAUAAGAGGGAGGCAAGGAGGAUUUAUGGAAAGGACAAAUCCAUGAUAUGGGAUUGUUCUAAGGGAGGAGAUGCAAGAACACCCCAACUGUGGAAGAUGGAAAGGCCUUGCCCAGAUCAUAUUUAAACUUCCAGCAUUCACAUAGAGGAUAAGAACUUACAUAAAUUUUGAUCUAACCAAGUUGGUUUUGUGUUUUACUCUCUGUGGCCCUCACUGACUUGGCAUGAGCUGGGUGUCUGAUCCAGGGACACUGGAGCUCCAACCCUCUUGAAAAAACUAGCUAUGACUUUUGUUGCCCACACUUCUGUAUGCUUCCUUUUUUUUUUUUUUUCCCCAGACAUGAACAUAAUUGCACUAAUUACAGGGAGUUGUGAAAUUUCAUGAACUGUCUCUAAAAGUUCUGCACUCAGAAGAUAAUGGAUGGCCAGAAGGGAGCAUGGUAUCCUUCUGUUGCAAAUCUUCUGAAACUUCAUCUCUGCUUUUGCAGGAUAUUUGUUGUGAGACAGAUGUUUUGAGCUAGUACAUCAGAUUUCCUGAUAAAAUACUACUUUUCUAUGGCUUUUUACUUUCAGGUUUUUUCCUCUUCAUAGAGCCAAAUAUGACCAUCAGUUCCACGCUUUCUGGGGAGAAACAGGGUGUGUUGUUAUAGGUAAUGAGAAUGGCUAAAAAAUAUCACCGGAAGAUCACCAUGAAGAUCACCACAGAGAGUGCCUCUUUGUAUUCUGUGUAAACGCCCUUUGUAGUGCCCUUUCCUGAAGUGCCACUGCUGCAUAACUUGAGUCUGAGCUGGGUGUUGGCUGAAUGGAACUGAUGCAAUGACUGGAAUGUGGUUGGGGUGACAAACAUGUGGGGCUUGACCUGUGUCACUUAGCAUGUAACUGCUGAGCAACUUCAUCUGUGUUAAUAAAGUCAGUGAGUUUGAAUUCCAGGUUAUAAGAUAAUGUUCUGCUCUUCAAGUUUGCUGUAUGUAACUUUGCAAUAGUGCUUAAACCAGGAUGGCUAGUAGCAACUAACUAUCCAGUUAGCUUCUGUAAAUAUGUGGGCACUGCAUUUCAAAUAGUUCUAUGUGCUCCUUGCUACCCGGGAAAGAAGCAUAAUGCAAACAGCAUUGUUGAAUACCAAGUGGUGUUCUGAAGUUCUGCGCUGGGGAUGUGACUGUGGCUGACCCCUUAGUUGGAUGAAUGGUAGUGGCUCUGCUGGGACCUGAGCAGUCAGCACCCGCACAUGGAACGAGAAUCUGUAAAUUGUUUAACACAAAUAUUUUAUGUCUGCCUUCAAAGAAGGAGGGUGAAGAGUAUGAUAUGGUGUUAUACAACCCAUUUUCAAGGUCAUAUUUGGAUUCUGGACUGUAGCUGUUGAGCGUCUUGUGUCAAUGAAAGAAAGAGUCUAGUGCGCUCUGUUGCGCCCUUUCCCUUUAGCAGAAUUGUCUCUGCUGCUUCGCACUUCAUCUGUUUCAAAUAACUUCUGUGAAAUAACUUAAGUGAGGCUUCUAGCUCAGUAACCAGAGAAGCAGACAUGCUUCAUGACUCUUCCUACUUGAGGGUCUCAUUAUUAGCUUUUAUAUUCCUGUCUUAUCUGUGUUAAAACUACAGGCUGAAGGCAGACCUUUCUGUUGCAAAGUACAGCGUAUACCUCCAGUUCAAUUUACAGUAAAAGCUACAUGCCCAAAAUCCUACUAUUUGGCCUAUUUUACUACUAUUAAAUAUAAGAGAUGCAGUCCACACAUUUUUAUUAUAGGUAAUGAGAAUGGCUAAAUUAAAAAAUUGAAAGAUUGUCACAAAGAUCACUACAAAGAGUGCCUCUCUGUAUGCUGUGCAAGUGCCCUUUCUAGUGCCCUUUCCCAAAGCGCUACGGCUACAUACUUGAGUCUGAGCUGGGUGACCUUAACAGCAGGUCUUAAAUGUAUUAUUUUUUUGUUCAUGGCAUACUGUGUUUCAUUGUGAAUGUACAAUAUUAAUACCUUUAUUUUUCUCCACGCAGCCACAGCAUGAAGGACUAUCCCAUAUUAAUCUCCUAAUUUAAAUUUGAAAUGAAAAACUAUCGCAACACUUGGAGCAUACUUUAAUGCGUUGAUUGUGCUGGCUUGAUUCCAGCAGUGUAACUAAUUGCAUUCUGCCUGCAAAAAAUUCUCAUUGCUCAUGGCUUUUUUGAGUGUUGCUGGCUUGAAUUCUUGUGUGAUCUCUGCAGCCUGACUACACAUUUUUGGUGCUGAUGGAAAACUGCUUAAAAUGACUAAGCAUCUCUCCUUGAUGAAAGAAAAGCCAUGGGGCUUGCUGAACAGAUCCAGUAUAGUGCUCUGCUGAAAAAGCAACAAAGGACAAACACGAGGAUUUUCACCUCUCUCAGAAGCCUUCUCUUAACCAUGCUUCCCUGGCUUCCUUUCAGCUGAUGCAGUGAACCUAAGGAUCAGGUGAUGACUUAGAAAAAUGGUCUCGUUCUCCUGGAAAUGAAGAGCUCAGGUGCUGGUAAAACUGUUGGCUAGCCUUUUUUAUUGUGUUAUGAUUCCAGAGUUAGCUUUAUGUUUCCAGAGAAUCAGGUUUGUUAACUCUUGGCUAGAUGUUUUCAUAUAUACAUAGUGUCUUGCAUGGGCAUAGCCAGGCUGUGCAGAAGAUCUGUGUCAGUGAAAGGUUAUGCAUGAUGCACUUCAUUUUGCAUUCUUUUGAGAAGGGUGGGAGUUGGGUGUCAUUGCUCCCAGGCUGCACCCUGAGAAGCUAAUGAGUACAAGAAACAGUUGUACUGACUUCCUUGAGAGGAACUGCAUGGUGAUUUGAAAACUAAAACAUUAAAGGGCUUUUGCCCAAACUGAGCUUCUGAUGGGUGAUUUUUUAAUUUUUUUUUUCUUUUGGUUAUUUCAGUACAACACAUCUACUUUUUUUUUUUUUUUUUCCUAUGGGUGCAGUGAAACUGGGCUCUACUUUUUUCCAGGCUCCUAUUUGAAACUACUGUCGAAGCUGUGGGCAUGAUGCAAGGAUGGCAAAAGGUGACCAAGGUACAUCUGCUGGUGUUAGAGCCAUCUGCCUUCAUCAGAGAUAGAGAUAUGGCAGAGAAGCAAUUGUUAGAAUUGUCAGGACAAUGGUGAUGGAGAAAAUACUACUGCCUGGAACAGCAGUGACCUCUUGUGGGUAGUGAGGAUGGCUGAUGAUGCUGGCGGUUGGUACUUGGGAGUCAGAGGAUAUUAAUGUGUUGUAAUUAUGUCUGUGGCCCUAAAGUGAAUGUGGUAAAGGGAGCUCGGAUUCUCUUGGCUAGGUAUUAGAAACAAUCAGCUAUAAAUGAUGCUAAGUCUUUUCUUCUUCACAUGUAUGUGCUCUGAAGCUGACAUGAGAAAUA
Molecule: long non-coding RNA, 5573 nt
Organism: Harpia harpyja (harpy eagle)
Lineage: Eukaryota; Metazoa; Chordata; Aves; Accipitriformes; Accipitridae
Exons: 11
Source: RefSeq, a predicted model, not a curated record